GACAGGACAUGUGUGUGCAUACCGUCCUCGGGAAGCUACACACAUUCUCGGUACAGUAAAAAUGUUUCUGUUGUGUGCAGACCAGGCGCAGCGUGAGCUUUGUACUGGCUCAAGCCCAAGAUGACCUGCGACCUGACAGUACCAAAAGGACAGUGUGCGAGCACGUGCCGCAGCUCUGCAGGAGAGCUGGUCCUCAGGCCGCUCUCACCUGGGAAAGCUGAUCUGCAGUGCCGAGGUUCUUUACAAGGCCCCCGGCAGGGGAGCAAGUAGAGAAGGUGAAGCAACAGGAGCAAAAGAAACAAGCUGGCCUGAGGUGAGAUCGGGAGGAAGGUGGGGGCCAAGUGAAAGCAGAGAGAAUGCCUGUGCCUGCGUACAGUCAUUCUAGCCAGUGGUGAUGCAGAUGACGCCUACACCCACCCAACGGCUGAGUAACAUCAAGAGGGCAUCUAGGGUACCGCAUAGCCAUUGAACAGGCACAGAACUCUUCUCACAGACCGUUUGUGACAAAGUUAUGGAAAGAAAGAACGGGUCAUAUCUGGGAAAUGAUCGUGUUGCAGACACAAGUAAGCUCAGACAACAUAAAGGUGGCUUAAUA
This is a long non-coding RNA of Syngnathus acus (greater pipefish), 595 nucleotides long. RefSeq lists it as uncharacterized. The transcript is spliced from 3 exons. The record is from RefSeq and is a predicted model, not a curated record. Lineage: Eukaryota; Metazoa; Chordata; Actinopteri; Syngnathiformes; Syngnathidae.